GAUAAACGCUAGCGGCAGGCUUAACACAUGCAAGUCGAGGGGCAGCAUAGAUUGUAGCAAUACAAUUGGUGGCGACCGGCGCACGGGUGCGUAACGCGUAUGCAACCUACCCGUCGCAGGGGGAUAAUCUGGAGAACUCUGGUCUAAUACCCCAUCACAUAUGGAUCGGCAGCGGUUCAUGUUGAAAUUUUCGGAGGUGACGGAAGGGCAUGCGUAGCAUGGGCUUGUUGGUGAGGUAACGGCACACCAAGGCGACGAUGCUUAGGGGGACUGAGAUGUUGUCCCCCCACACUGGUACUGAGACACGGACCAGACUCCGACGUGAGGCAGCAGUGAGGAAUAUUGGUCAAUGGGCGCAAGCCUGAACCAGCCAUGCCGCGUGCAGGAUGACGGCUCGAUGAGUUGUAAACUGCUUUUGUAUGAGGGUAAAGUGGGUUACGUGUAACCUUUUGAAAGUAUCGUACGAAUAAGGAUCGGCUAACUCCGUGCCAGCAGCCGCGGUAA
This 504-nucleotide ribosomal RNA is filed under the name uncultured bacterium. RNAcentral's name for it is "partial 16S ribosomal RNA". It matches the Rfam family "Bacterial small subunit ribosomal RNA", at positions 28 to 523 of the family's 1533-position model. The record is from RNAcentral.